CUUCAACGAGCCGAGCAGCAGGGGGUGGGCACGGUCCUGCCCAUAGGUGUCCAUGAUCGCCUGCGCCUC
RNAcentral lists this non-coding RNA (69 nucleotides) under Streptomyces noursei. The record is from RNAcentral. Lineage: Bacteria; Bacillati; Actinomycetota; Actinomycetes; Kitasatosporales; Streptomycetaceae.